This 440-nucleotide ribosomal RNA is filed under the name uncultured bacterium. RNAcentral's name for it is "partial 16S ribosomal RNA". It matches the Rfam family "Bacterial small subunit ribosomal RNA", at positions 338 to 795 of the family's 1533-position model. The record is from RNAcentral.
CCUACGGGUGGCAGCAGUGGGGAAUAUUGCACAAUGGGGGAAACCCUGAUCCAGCGACGCCGCGUGAGUGAAGAAUUAUUUCGGUAUGGUAAGCUUCAUCAGCAGGGGAGAAAAUGACGGUACCUGAUUCAGAAGCCCCGGCUAACUACGUGCCAGCAGCCGCGGUAAUAUGGCGGGGGCAAGCGUUAUCCGGAUUUACUGGGCGUAAAGGGGGCGUAGACGGAAGCAAAAGUCUGGAGUGAAAUGCCGGGGCUUAACCCCGGAACUGCAUGGGAAACUGUGCAGCUAGAGUGCAGGAGAGGUAAGUGGAAGUCGUAGUGUAGCGGUGAAAUGCGUAGAUAUUAGGAGGAACACCAGUUGCGAAGGCAGCUUACUGGACUGUAACUGACGUUGAGGCUCGAAAGCGUGGGGAGCAAACAGGAUUAGAUACCCCUGUAGUC